GACGAACGCUGGCGGCGUGCUUAACACAUGCAAGUCGAGCGAGGCCCCUCCUUCGGGAGGGUGUCCUAGCGGCGAACGGGUGAGUAACACGUGGGCAACCUGCCCUCAGCUCUGGGAUAACUCCGGGAAACCGGGGCUACUACCGGAUACGACCUCCACGGGCAUCUGCGGAGGUGGAAAGUUUUUCGGCUGAGGAUGGGCCCGCGGCCUAUCAGCUAGUUGGUGGGGUAGUGGCCCACCAAGGCGACGACGGGUAGCCGGCCUGAGAGGGCGACCGGCCACACUGGGACUGAGACACGGCCCAGACUCCUACGGGAGGCAGCAGUGGGGAAUAUUGCGCAAUGGGCGAAAGCCUGACGCAGCGACGCCGCGUGAGGGACGAAGGCCUUCGGGUUGUAAACCUCUUUCAGCAGGGACGAAGCGAAAGUGGCGGUACCUGCAGAAGAAGCACCGGCCAACUACGUG
RNAcentral lists this ribosomal RNA (465 nucleotides) under uncultured bacterium. RNAcentral's name for it is "partial 16S ribosomal RNA". It matches the Rfam family "Bacterial small subunit ribosomal RNA", at positions 28 to 507 of the family's 1533-position model. The record is from RNAcentral.